Non-coding RNA from Oncorhynchus mykiss (rainbow trout), 1294 nucleotides. NCBI's taxonomy places the organism in Eukaryota, Metazoa, Chordata, Actinopteri, Salmoniformes, Salmonidae. The record is from RefSeq and is a predicted model, not a curated record.
CCACAAUAGCGUGCUCAAACUCACACUCACACACACACUCACACACACACGCAUCCCUAUUCACACACACUUACACACACCCCUACUCAGACACACUCACACACACCCCUACUCAGAUACACACACACCCCUACUCACACACACCCCUACUCACACACCACAUUGUCUGCGUUCGGCUCUCCCUUCCCACUCUGCCUACAUCUCCCUUCCAGGAUGCACAGACGACUGCUCUCUCUCUGGGUGACCGGGGCGCUGCUGCUACCCUUGUGCUGGGCAAACAAAGAGGACUAUGAGGAAGAAUAUGAUGACUAUUCUACACAAACACCAGACUAUGACUACACCGCCACCUUCGAUUACACCUAUUUCAGUAACACCACCGGCCAUGAGGACUAUAGUUUGUAUGUAAUUCUAGGAGAGAAGAAGAAUGUGGAGGAGAAGGAUCUUGAGAAUAAGGCUUUAGCGAUUGGCUCCCCAUGCCCAGUGCUACUCCUCGGAUUGGCUGCUCACCAACUCCAUCGAUUACUGUGAAUGAAACCGAGCACUGCAGAACAUACACAGAUAUACAGGACCCUGAAUUGAGCAGAAAGUUACCAAAUAUUCUGGAAUUGGACUGAGGAGAAAGCUACCCAAUAUUCUGGAAUUGAACUGAGGAGAAAGUUACCCAAUAUUCUGGAAUUGAACUGAGGAGAAAGUUACCCAAUAUUCUGGAAUUGGACCUUUUUAAGGAUCAAAUGGACACAGCAUGUGAUUCUCCACCACUGACUUUCUAUACUAUAGUUGGAAAAACCCAUAGUGACUCCUGAAUCCUAACUUAUGAAAGAAGCCCACAACUUUCAUAAACUUUCAUAAACUCAUAAAUUCAUAAACAUCUCCCAUAAUAAUAUUUGCAUUGUAUGCACGUCUCAAGUUGUAAGAUCAAAUCAAAAUCAAAAUCAAAUUUAUUUAUAAAGCCCUUCUUACGCCAGCUGAUAUCACAAAGUGUUGUACAGAAACCCAGCCUAAAACCUCAAACAGCUAGCAAUGCAGGUGUAGAAGCACGGUGGCUAGGAAAAACUCCCUAGAAAGGCCAGAACCUAGGAAGAAACCUAGAGAGGAACCAGACUAUGAGGGGUGGCCACUCCUCUUCUGGCUGUGAUGUGUCCCUUAGUCCCUUAGCACAAAGCCAAUGUCCAUCUUGUUUUGACUUCAUACAAACUAAUAUGCAUAUUAUACAUGUUUAUCUUUUAACACAUCUUUUCCAAGUAUGUUUUGUUUCUGUUUGAUAUUCUGUUAUGAAAUAUAAUGCUUUCUACAA